This 448-nucleotide ribosomal RNA is filed under the name uncultured bacterium. RNAcentral describes it as "bacterial SSU rRNA". It matches the Rfam family "Bacterial small subunit ribosomal RNA", at positions 328 to 793 of the family's 1533-position model. The record is from RNAcentral.
CUCUGUGACUCCUACGGGAGGCAGCAGUGGGGAAUCUUAGACAAUGGGCGCAAGCCUGAUCUAGCCAUGCCGCGUGAGUGAUGAAGGCCCUAGGGUCGUAAAGCUCUUUCGCCUGUGAAGAUAAUGACUGUAGCAGGUAAAGAAACCCCGGCUAACUCCGUGCCAGCAGCCGCGGUAAUACGGAGGGGGUUAGCGUUGUUCGGAAUUACUGGGCGUAAAGCGCGCGUAGGCGGACAUUUAAGUCAGGGGUGAAAUCCCGGGGCUCAACCCCGGAACUGCCCUUGAUACUGGGUGUCUUGAGUUCGAGAGAGGUGAGUGGAAUUCCGAGUGUAGAGGUGAAAUUCGUAGAUAUUCGGAGGAACACCAGUGGCGAAGGCGGCUCACUGGCUCGAUACUGACGCUGAGGUGCGAAAGUGUGGGGAGCAAACAGGAUUAGAUACCCUGGUAG